CGCCAGAGAAAUAACUAAUAGCUGUUAAUUAGUCUGUUUGUCUAUUGAAUUAAGCUGCUGGCCAUAUAUAUGUUGGCGCAGCGCCACUUUUAUUUAGUUCGCGUUGACCUCCCAUCGAAUUCGUUCUAAAUAAAUCAAAGCUAAUUCCGGUAACAAAACAUAGAAGGCCGAAUUCCAAAUUUUCCAAUCGAAUCAAAACAAAGAGAAAACAAAAUGAAAGAUCCGAGAUACAUUGAUCGGAAGGAACAAAGUGACGGACCUCUCUUUACGAUCCUGCAAUCCUUGCAAAUAAUUCUUGUAAUGAUUCUCGAUGAACUGCUUGGCGGCAGCAGCUUUCUGCCUGGUGACCGGCGAGGAAACAGACACAUCCGGACCAGAGUCAAGACCACUCCGCUCCUGGCGUAAGUUCAAAGCCCCUAAUCUCACCGUACCAUCACCACCGCCGUCCAUUGCUCGGACGAAUCAAGGUAGCAGGAAAGAUCAAAGAUCGAAUAUGAGCACAGACGAGUGACGACUAGCAAAAGGAAUCAGAAGAACUCCAUCUGGAUUGAUUGAGGAGUAAGCUAUUUACAGCUCACAGCAAGGAACGAGGUGAGAUCUAAGCGGCGGUGUUGUCAGUGUUGUAGAAAAUGACUGAGAGAGAGAGAAGUUGAAGAGGUGAAGAAUUCUAAAGAAAUGAAGCGAAAUGAACUGGCGAGAUUUGUGCGAAAAUAUUGCAAAUUGAGACACGUUCAUUAUUACAAGUAAAACACCAGUGGACAGCCUUUAAUAGUUCAAUUUCCAACGCAGCCAAUCUAGAACGGUGUAAUUCAAAAAGUGGUUUGAGAAGUAGUCCUACCUCUCCGAACGCGCCUUUACCUAUGACAGUCAACUGUUCGAAGUCAUCAAUCCCAACUUUGCGUCUUUGGAGCCUCAUGAACUCAGUUUCUCUCCUUGCCAGGUUCUUCAUCAAUUCCUCCUGGUCCUCAGUUGAUACCUGAGCCUCUUGCGCUCUGCGUUGGAGAGUCCGCCGUCUGGAAACAGAGGGAAUGCAAAACCAUGCUUACAACUUCUAAGAAAGAAACGUAAACUGGAACCCCGCCAGAGAAAUAACUAAUAGCUGUUAAUUAGUCUGUUUGUCUAUUGAAUUAAGCUGCUGGCCAUAUAUAUGUUGGCGCAGCGCCACUUUUAUUUAGUUCGCGUUGACCUCCCAUCGAAUUCGUUCUAAAUAAAUCAAAGCUAAUUCCGGUAACAAAACAUAGAAGGCCGAAUUCCAAAUUUUCCAAUCGAAUCAAAACAAAGAGAAAACAAAAUGAAAGAUCCGAGAUACAUUGAUCGGAAGGAACAAAGUGACGGACCUCUCUUUACGAUCCUGCAAUCCUUGCAAAUAAUUCUUGUAAUGAUUCUCGAUGAACUGCUUGGCGGCAGCAGCUUUCUGCCUGGUGACCGGCGAGGAAACAGACACAUCCGGACCAGAGUCAAGACCACUCCGCUCCUGGCGUAAGUUCAAAGCCCCUAAUCUCACCGUACCAUCACCACCGCCGUCCAUUGCUCGGACGAAUCAAGGUAGCAGGAAAGAUCAAAGAUCGAAUAUGAGCACAGACGAGUGACGACUAGCAAAAGGAAUCAGAAGAACUCCAUCUGGAUUGAUUGAGGAGUAAGCUAUUUACAGCUCACAGCAAGGAACGAGGUGAGAUCUAAGCGGCGGUGUUGUCAGUGUUGUAGAAAAUGACUGAGAGAGAGAGAAGUUGAAGAGGUGAAGAAUUCUAAAGAAAUGAAGCGAAAUGAACUGGCGAGAUUUGUGCGAAAAUAUAUACAGAGAGAAAGUGAGAGAGAAAGAAGGAGAAAGAGAGAGGAGAGAGGCCGCCUGAAGAAGCUGUCUUAUCUGUCAAGAGUUUUGCAUUUGUUUGCUUGCAAUCUCCACUGUCCUGAUUGGAUAUUUUACUUUUCUCUUCUUUUUUCGAGUCCUCUUUUCCAAAAUUUUCCCAACUUCUUCUCUUUUCGGGCUUAGGGGGAUUUUUGUGGAGUGAGAUGGACGUCAU
This 2021-nucleotide long non-coding RNA is filed under the name Linum usitatissimum (flax). Its description in RNAcentral is "long non-coding RNA (LUSI_LNC006234)". Lineage: Eukaryota; Viridiplantae; Streptophyta; Magnoliopsida; Malpighiales; Linaceae. The record is from RNAcentral.